AUUCGUUAUAGUAGUUAAUUUGCUAGUCCACGGGAUGUUCCCGCCGAAAUUGGACUUCGUUAUUAUGAAUAUUAAUAAAUUAAUAUGAGGUGUGUUUUUAUCAACUUAACCACUUGGUUGUUUUUGCUUCAGAAAAGCAACUAGUUAUAAAUGUAAGGGCUUUUUUGGACAACUUCGGUGAAAAAGUGUUGAUUUCGUAGUUCAGUCAGCGUAACUUAUAUCCGAGAGGUCUUACAGGCGCCACAGACACCUAUCAGCCUUUUGUAAGGAGGAGCAGCUCGAGUGCGGUGCGGUCAGUAGCCCUUCAAAUUAGAAAAGUGAGGAUGAUCUUGUCAAUGCUGAGAUUUUCAUGCAUUAGCAGCCACUACAUCUGGAUCAGAUUGAACAAGAAACGGACAGCAAGGGUUGUCAGAUCAGAAACAGAAUGACACACAAACAAGAAACUUCACAGGCAGAUCAACAUGCAAUUUGAAGACGUGUGAUAAAAUACAGAGAGGUGAAGUAGUGUGUCUUUCCAGAUCCCCAAAUCAUUCCCCCUUAAAAGAUGAGCCUGAAGAGGAGAUUUGGGAAGAUGUUGUUUCAUAAGUCGCUUUGCCAGAUCACAUGUGGUAAGUCGGGAUGUCUGCUAACAAGAUGCCUUGCUGGUCUGAGCGAGUUUAAAGUCUUACACAGACAGUCCAGAAGUUCUGAAGUCCAUCUUCGAUUUCAUUGGACGCUUUAAGGUGUAGAAACAUCUCAGCAACCUCAAGAGAAAUUGGAGGCAACUGAGCUAAAUUGCAGAUGUUGUUGCAAAGGGUCUGAAUAUGUAUAAUAUGCUGUCAUCGUAUUAAGUACAGCAUGAGCCAGAAUAGAUGGGUGGUGAUGGCCAUAAGAAGACUGUCAACUAAACCAACAACAAAAUUCAUAUUUGCAGUUUUUCUUGAAUAAAGUUUUUCUAUUCAGAUUAAUAAAAUGACUUUUAAACAUGA
Non-coding RNA from Paramisgurnus dabryanus, 968 nucleotides. NCBI's taxonomy places the organism in Eukaryota, Metazoa, Chordata, Actinopteri, Cypriniformes, Cobitidae. The record is from RefSeq and is a predicted model, not a curated record.